Molecule: regulatory RNA element, 76 nt
Rfam family: c-di-GMP-I riboswitch aptamer
About the family: GEMM was predicted in a large-scale screen for bacterial structured RNA regulatory elements. Genes associated with GEMM are involved in a diverse array of functions, including chemotaxis regulation, signal transduction, secretion and chitin.
Source: Rfam
AGACGAUAAUACUUAACCAUUCGCAAGAAUGGGGCGGAAAGCCUACGGGUCUUACUGAGACAGCCGGGUUGCCGAA